GCAGCUCAGUGGUGGGGCAUCUACUCUAUGUGAAGAAGGUCCCAGGUUCGAUCCCUGGCAUUUCCA
Podarcis lilfordi (Lilford's wall lizard) is the source of this 66-nucleotide non-coding RNA. The record is from the annotation of a GenBank genome assembly. NCBI's taxonomy places the organism in Eukaryota, Metazoa, Chordata, Lepidosauria, Squamata, Lacertidae.